Molecule: ribosomal RNA, 1354 nt
Filed under: uncultured bacterium
Lineage: Bacteria
Description: bacterial SSU rRNA
Rfam family: Bacterial small subunit ribosomal RNA
Source: RNAcentral
AUUGAACGCUGGCGGCAUGCCUUACACAUGCAAGUCGAACGGCAGCACGGGGGCAACCCUGGUGGCGAGUGGCGAACGGGUGAGUAACAUAUCGGAACGUGCCCUGGAGUGGGGGAUAACUAGUCGAAAGAUUAGCUAAUACCGCACACGAUCUACGGAUGAAAGUGGGGGAUCGCAAGACCUCAUGCUCGUGGAGCGGCCGAUAUCUGAUUAGCUAGUUGGUGGGGUAAAGGCCUACCAAGGCAUCGAUCAGUAGCUGGUCUGAGAGGACGACCAGCCACACUGGGACUGAGACACGGCCCAGACUCCUACGGGAGGCAGAGCAGUGGGGAAUUUUGGACAAUGGGCGCAAGCCUGAUCCAGCAAUGCCGCGUGAGUGAAGAAGGCCUUCGGGUUGUAAAGCUCUUUUGUCAGGGAAGAAACGGUGAGGGCUAAUAUCCUUUGCUAAUGACGGUACCUGAAGAAUAAGCACCGGCUAACUACGUGCCAGCAGCCGCGGUAAUACGCAGGUGCAAAGCGUUAAUCGGAAUUACUGGGCGUAAAGCGUGCGCAGGCGGUUGUGCAAGACCGAUGUGAAAUCCCCGGGCUUAACCUGGGAAUGGCAUUGGUGACUGCGCGGCUAGAGUGUGUCAGAGGGGGGUAGAAUUCCACGUGUAGCAGUGAAAUGCGUAGAGAUGUGGAGGAAUACCGAUGGCGAAGGCAGCCCCCUGGGAUAACACUGACGCUCAUGCACGAAAGCGUGGGGAGCAAACAGGAUUAGAUACCCUGGUAGUCCACGCCCUAAACGAUGUCAACUAGUUGUCGGGUCUUAAUUGACUUGGUAACGCAGCUAACGCGUGAAGUUGACCGCCUGGGGAGUACGGUCGCAAGAUUAAAACUCAAAGGAAUUGACGGGGACCCGCACAAGCGGUGGAUGACGUGGAUUAAUUCGAUGCAACGCGAAAAACCUUACCUACCCUUGACAUGGCAGGAAUCCCGGAGAGAUUCGGGAGUGCUCGAAAGAGAACCUGCACACAGGUGCUGCAUGGCUGUCGUCAGCUCGUGUCGUGAGAUGUUGGGUUAAGUCCCGCAACGAGCGCAACCCUUGUCAUUAGUUGCUACGAAAGGGCACUCUAAUGAGACUGCCGGUGACAAACCGGAGGAAGGUGGGGAUGACGUCAAGUCCUCAUGGCCCUUAUGGGUAGGGCUUCACACGUCAUACAAUGGUACAUACAGAGGGCCGCCAACCCGCGAGGGGGAGCUAAUCCCAGAAAGUGUAUCGUAGUCCGGAUUGCAGUCUGCAACUCGACUGCAUGAAGUUGGAAUCGCUAGUAAUCGCGGAUCAGCAUGUCGCGGUGAAUACGUUCCCGGGUCU